UAGGGAAUCUUCGGCAAUGGGGGGAACCCUGACCGAGCAACGCCGCGUGAGUGAAGAAGGUUUUCGGAUCGUAAAGCUCUGUUGUUAAGGAAGAACGAGUGUGAGAAUGGAAAGUUCAUGCUGUGACGGUACUUAACCAGAAAGGGACGGCUAACUACGUGCCAGCAGCCGCGGUAAUACGUAGGUCCCGAGCGUUGUCCGGAUUUAUUGGGCGUAAAGCGAGCGCAGGCGGUUAGAAAAGUCUGAAGUGAAAGGCAGUGGCUCAACCAUUGUAGGCUUUGGAAACUGUUUAACUUGAGUGCAGAAGGGGAGAGUGGAAUUCCAUGUGUAUCGGUGAAAUGCGUAGAUAUAUGGAGGAACACCGGUGGCGAAAGCGGCUCUCUGGUCUGUAACUGACGCUGAGGCUCGAAAGCGUGGGGAGCGAACAGG
Molecule: ribosomal RNA, 429 nt
Filed under: Verrucomicrobiota bacterium
Lineage: Bacteria; Pseudomonadati; Verrucomicrobiota
Description: Verrucomicrobia bacterium partial 16S ribosomal RNA
Rfam family: Bacterial small subunit ribosomal RNA
Source: RNAcentral